AAACGUGAGAAAAAGGAAGGUGUUUUAUAAUAACACUAUGAGGAGCUGUUAGGGACAUAACUCAUUCUUGCUUGUGCACAUACAGUACAUCAUAUAAUGACUCACUCACUAGUGAAAUGAGUCAUCAGUCACAUGUUUUGGAGAAUCCACCUAUCUACAUAGCUCCCACUAUUCAUUCUAAUUUUAAAUGCGAGUGCAUGCGUUUCAGUAGUAAGUGCAUGCUAUUCAAUAGAUAGUGUAUGUGUUUCAAUAGCUAGUGUAUGUGUUUCAAUAGACAGCGUAUGUGUUUCAAUAGAUAGUGUAUGCGUUUCAAUAGAUGGUGUAUUUUAUUCAAUAGUGUAUGCUUUUCAAUAGUGUAUGCUUUUCAGUAGUGUAUGUGUUUCAAUAGGUAGUGUAUGCGUUUCAAUAGAUAGUGUAUUUAUUUCAAUAGUGUAUGCUUUUCAAUAGUGUAUGCGUUUCAAUAGAUAGUGUAUUUAUUUCAAUAGUGUAUGCUUUUCAAUAGAUAGUGUAUUUAUUUCAAUAGUAUUUGCGUUUCAAUAGUGUUUGCGUUUCAAUAGAUAGUGUUUGCGUUUCAAUAGAUAGUGUUUGCGUUUCAAUAGAUAGUGUAUGCGUUUCAAUAGAUAGUGUUUGCGUUUCAAUAGAUAGGUAUGCUUUUCAAUAGAUAGGUAUGCUUUUCAAUAGUGUAUGUGUUUCAAUAGAUAAGUAUGCUUUUCAAUAGUUUAUGCGUUUCAAUAGAUAGUGUAUGCUUUUCAAUAGAUAGUGUAUUUAUUUCAAUAGUGUAUGCUUUUCAAUAGUGUAUGCUUUUCAAUAGAUAGUGUAUUUAUUUCAAUAGUAUUUGCGUUUCAAUAGUGUUUGCGUUUCAAUAGAUAGUGUUUGCGUUUCAAUAGAUAGGUUUGCUUUUCAAUAGAUAUGUAUGCUUUUCAAUAGUGUAUGUGUUUCAAUAGAUAAGUAUGCUUUUCAAUAGUUUAUGCGUUUCAAUAGAUAGGUAUGCUUUUCAAUAGUUUAUGCAUUUCAAUAGUUUAUGCAUUUCAAUAGUUUAUGCAUUUCAAUAGUGUAUGCUUUUCAAUAGUGUAUGCGUGUCAAUAGAUGGUGUAUGCUUUUCAAUAGUGUAUGCUUUUCAAUAGUUUAUGCAUUUCAAUAGAUAGUGUAUGCUUUUCAAUAGCUUAUGCGUUUCAGUAGAUAGCGUAUGUUUUUCAAUAGUGUAUGCAUUUCAAUAGAUGGUGUAUGCUUUUCAAUAGUGUAUGCGUUUCAAUGGAUGGUGUAUGCUUUUCAAUAGUGUAUGCGUUUCAAUGGAUGGUGUAUGCUUUUCAAUAGUGUAUGCGUUUCAAUGGAUGGUGUAUGCUUUUCAAUAGUUUAUGCAUUUCAAUGGGCAGCAGUGUGGAGUAGUGGUUAGGGCUCUGGACUCUUGACCGGAGGGUUGUGGGUUCAGUCCCAGGUGGGGGACACUACUGCUGUACCCUUGAGCAAUGUACUUUACCUAGAUUGCUCCAAUAAAACCCCAACUGUAUAAAUUGGUAAUUGUGUGUAAAAAAUAAUGUAAUUGUAUGUAAAAAUAAUGUGAUAUCUUGUAACAAUUGUAAGUCGCCCUGGAUAAGGGUGUCUGCUAAGAAAUCAAUAAUAUUAUUAGUUUAUUUAAUAGACGCCUUUAUCCAAGGCGACUUACAGAGACUAGGGAGUGUGAACUAUGCAUCAGCUGCGCUGCAGAGUCACUUACAACUACGUCUCAACCGAAAGACGGAGCACAAGGAGGUUAAGUGACAUGCUCAGGGUCACACAAUGAGUCAGUGGCUGAGGUGGAAUUUGAACCGGGGACCUCCUGGUUGCAAGCCUGUGUCUUUAACCACUGGACCACACAGCCUCCUUAUGUGUUUUUCAAUAGUAAGUGUAUGCGUUUCAAUAGAUAGUGUAAGCGUUUUAAUAGAUAGUUUAUGCUUUUCAGUAUUGAAUGUAUGAGUUUUAACUUAAGUAGUGAGUGUAUGUUUCAAUAGUGUAUACGUUUCAGUAUAGAAUGUAUGCAACAUUUCACUAAGGAGCAUAUGUAUUUCACUAUACAUAAAAUAAGAAAUCAAUAGUCAGUGAGUCCGUUUCAAUGUAGAGUGUCUGUUUCAGUAUAUAAUGUAUGCCUUUCAGUAUAUGAUCUAUGUGCACAAGCAAGGAUGAAUUAUUCCCCUGACGGCGCCUCAUAUAAUACUACACAAAAGCAUUUUAGUUUCUUAUUGUAAAACAGUUAUAUUGAUUUAGUAAUAUAUAUUUCUGCUCUUGACAUCAAGAAGUCCCAGCAAGUAAGGUAAAUAAGAAGGUAGUAUAGCUACUGGUUCCAGCGAAGUCAGAAGGCUCAUGCUCAGCCUUGUCUGACCAAGGACAUUUUUUUGACCUCAGUGUUCCACCCAAUAAUUAAGCUUUUCAACCAAGUAAAAGUAGGACCACACAGUUAAUGAGAUGGUAAUGUGAACUUUUAAAAUCUGUAAUUAUACCAGAUUUAACCAUCUAAUAUGUGUCAAUAGUACAGGACGUUACAGGCAAAAAAGAUGUCAAGAUAUUUGUGUUGGUAUCGUUAAGAUAUGUUGUCAAUAUUUUUCUAGAAUGCAUUGUAGUUUUGUAUGGAAUGGGGAAGUUGCAUAGUGAUGAGUUCAUUUAAAAGUUUAUAGAUUAAAGAAAUAUGGGACUAAACCAGAAAGAAGUUGACAAAUUUAAGAUGAUUUGUACAAGACUAUGCAAUGCACACGCAGUCUUGCACACAACAUAGCAUGACAUGAAAUAAUAAAUGAAUAGGGAAGGCAUUUGGUGACUCACAAUUAACAACAGUGGAAUUGCUUUUAUUCAUUUAGAACUAUGAAAAAGGUAGACGGUGUUGUUAAAUAAACUCAGUAUCACCACAGUUUAACAAUAAUUAGUGGUGUUUUAUUGCUGUCUUUAUUGACAUCGCUAAAUACAAUUGCAAAAAAUAUGAUGAAAAGAGGUUUGUUAUUGAGGGUAGUUGUAUUAAAAUGGUGUGCAGUUUGGCAAAUUAAAAUUGGACUCAUGGUCUGAAUGCUGUGGUAAAGGAAUUAUAUUGCACCUUCGUGAACAAAGGUCUGUAAAGUAUUCUUAGAACAAAGCUUUCAAUGCGCCUUUUUAGUACCUGCCUUGUGUGGGAAAGAUAUAUGUUUAGUAAAAUAUUUAAAAAAAAAACCAAAAAAAAAACAUAAUUCGUUUUAUACAGAGCGUAACAGGAUGGUAAAGGGUUAGACAGACAGUAGCUGUGGGUUUAAGUGCCGGGGUGCACAUUUAUUAAUCAAAAUAAAAUCAAAAACACUGCGCACGGAGCAAAAUAAAAAGGUUAAACAAAAACAAGUCUUUUGUUCGGCUGGGCAUUUGCCUUCACAGACCAACAUCACAUAACACCCAGCAAAACUCACCUCACUCCUUUCCCAACACACUCUCUCAAACAAAGGAUUUUCUCCCCUUGUAUCCCAUGUGGCUGGAGCCUAAUUAAUCAUCAAUUAUUCAAUUAAGGCUCCAACCACACAUAUAUUUGGCAGGGAUAGGAAUUAACCCCAUCCCUGCCAGCCACCACAACUAACACACAAACAAACACUAUUUACAAGUAGGGCUGUGCCCUGCCACACAUAGUAAAAAUGUUCAUCCUGUGAAAUGUGUUUGAAGGCUGUUGUACCUGUAUGCAAUAUUAAGCAUCAAAAGUGUGAUUUCAGUCAUCACGAUAACCAUUUAACACCCCAUGGUAAAAUAGAAGAACACCAACGUAAUACUACAUAGAAGUUUUGGACCACAGCAUAUUUCAUAUAAAAUAUUUACAUUAUAUAGUAAUGUUUCAGGUUUCUCUCUAAACUCCAUGUGAAGAAAAGCUGUAUACUCCAUUCCACAGGCCCUAACCAGGUGUGGAUAAUAAGCUCAUCCCACUGCUGAGAAUAAACACAUCUUCAAUUAAUACCAUGAGCCACACCAGAUAUGUGGCUGUUAGAAAACCUCAAAUGGAUCUGCUGCCCUCACAUGGAGUCUAGGGAGUUUUCAGUUUAUUAUUACAUUUCUUAGCAGACGCCCUUACCCAGGGCGUGACUUACAAUUGUUACAAGAUAUCACGUUAUUUUUUACAUACAAUUACCCAUUUAUACAGUUGGGUUUUUUUUACUGGAGCAAUCUAGGUAAAGUACCUUGCUCAAGGGUACAGCAGCAGUGUUCCCCCACCUGGGAUUGAACCCACGACACUCCGGUCAAGAGUCCAGAGCCCUAACCACUACUCCACAUUGCUAAAUGGCAGGUUUCUUAGACUUAAAUGAUGUUAGUUUUUUAGAGUGUAUUUCUGUAUCAUUAGUAACCCUGUGACCAACGAAAUGUUAGAAUACCAUACACUGGUUAAAUGUGUAUUGCAUAAAAUAAUAAUUUUAGUCAAAAACUGUUUUAUAUCUGUGUGUUUCUGUAAAUAACAGGCCAUACUAUAUGUGGAUGAGGGAUUUAAAGCAAUGGUCUGCCUGGGUGACACUCAGUAUUUUCCUCAGUGAGCUCAGAACCUUGCACUCUCCAUUGAAUUGGAAUACUAAGGCAUGGAUCUAAUCAAACAACAUUUUAGCUAUUGUGGCAGCAUUUAUGAAAAUACUGCAAAACAUGUGUUCAAAGGAAUUAAUGUCAAACAAUUUAGAGAAUAAUACAACCCAUAGAGAAAUCACUGUGUUAAUAGGAAACACUGUGGUAAUCAAUCAAAAGAUAAACUUAAUCUUGAUAUUCAGAUAUUCUAACUGAAACACGUACAGUAUAUACUAGUUGUCCCAAGCCAUUCGACGUAUCUGUGGGUGGAUAAAUAUAUACUGUACCUGAUAUAUUCUUGUUUAGAGCAAAAAACUGUCUUUGUAUCUUGAAUACAUUAUCACAAAAGCUGCCUGUCUAGACUGAUUUUUAUUAAUCAUAUGUUCCAGCCUCUGGUGGAAGUCCAUCUGUGAAAUCCUGGGCAGAUCACUGUAUAAGUGUUGUGUAAACUACGGUCAUAAGUUGGUCAUUGUAAAGUGAUAUGGUAUGAGUUAAGGUCGAGGAAUUGUUUGAAGUUUUAAAUAGAUACGGUACUGGUUUGUUUGGUUUUCCCAAACUAAAGUACCCUUUAAGGCAAGUCAUGAAACAGGUUGUAUGUUAGACAUUCCCUGGAAAGCUGUGUAUCUUAGUUUGUUUACUUGAUUAUUUAUAUGUAUUAGAGUUUGUAUCAUCAAUGCAUUGUGGUCACAACCUGUUUAACAUCUUGUUUUGAUUUUCAAGGCAAUUAAUCUUGCAGUUUUUAAAACACCUGUUUGUUUUAUCACUAAUAAUUUCAUACAAUACCAGGAAUAAACAUUUAAAAUAGUUUGUUGAGUGAAAUACAACAUAAGUGGUUUAAUACACUCCAAAUAUUAAAAAUAAUAAUUUAAGUACCAGCCAUCUAUUAAAAUCCAUAUUUGGUCCUAAAAUGAAUGUUUCUAGACACAUUUAAUUGUGUAUAUGUAUAGUUUUAAUAUGAUAAAAAUUCACCUUCAGAGCCUAUCAUGAUAAAAUAUGUUUGAAUUUGAAAUAAUUGUCGAAUGUGUACAGUGUGACAAUCUAUAAAACAACUUAUUGAGGUGAAAAGGGGUGGUCGACAUUUGAAGUAGAAAACCGAAAAAAAGAUGAUAAAGAAUGAUUGAUUUACUUUAUGUAUCACUUACAUGGCUAUUAAGCCCAAAUCAUAAUUGAUGUGUCAUGUUUUAUUAUGUUGAACCUUUUGUUGUUUAAAAAAAGCUUAAUUGUAGAAUGUUUCUUUUUGUAUUAGUACUUACAUUAUGUACGGACUUACUGCUGUUCAAAUAAUUCCACAGAAGUCCUGCACUACUGCAUAGGAUCUCAGCACUGCCUGUAAUCUCAGCACUGCCCUCAUUAAGAGGCUUAACAUUUCUAACACAAAUUGAAGAAUUUGAUGAGAAACCUCUUUUUUUUUUUUAAAUCUUGCCCUAAAAGCAUCCCCAAUGUGCUCUUAUGUACAAUCCUGACCAUAGCUUUGGAGUGUUAAGUGUAUAUGAGCAGAUGACAAGGGCUAUGGAACUCAUAAACAGCUAUGAAUGAUAAAUCAAUUUAACAUACAAUAUCUGAAUAACCAUUGACAGCUGUUAAGAGGAAUGUCAUAUGAAAAUGAUUGUUCACUGCAUGAGAUUGUUACAUUAAACACUUCCAUAAAGCUUAAAA
This is a long non-coding RNA of Acipenser ruthenus (sterlet), 6177 nucleotides long. RefSeq lists it as uncharacterized. NCBI's taxonomy places the organism in Eukaryota, Metazoa, Chordata, Actinopteri, Acipenseriformes, Acipenseridae. The record is from RefSeq and is a predicted model, not a curated record. The transcript has 2 exons.